RNAcentral lists this ribosomal RNA (468 nucleotides) under uncultured bacterium. RNAcentral describes it as "partial 16S ribosomal RNA". It matches the Rfam family "Bacterial small subunit ribosomal RNA", at positions 28 to 507 of the family's 1533-position model. The record is from RNAcentral.
GACGAACGCUGGCGGCGUGCUUAACACAUGCAAGUCGAACGGAAAGGCCCUGCUUUUGUGGGGUGCUCGAGUGGCGAACGGGUGAGUAACAUGUGAGUAACCUACCCUUGACUUUGGGAUAACUUCAGGAAACUGGGGCUAAUACCGGAUAGGAGCUCCUGCUGCAUGGUGGGGGUUGGAAAGUUUCGGCGGUUGGGGAUGGACUCGCGGCUUAUCAGCUUGUUGGUGGGGUAGUGGCUUACCAAGGCUUUGACGGGUAGCCGGCCUGAGAGGGUGACCGGCCACAUUGGGACUGAGAUACGGCCCAGACUCCUACGGGAGGCAGCAGUGGGGAAUAUUGCACAAUGGGCGGAAGCCUGAUGCAGCAACGCCGCGUGCGGGAUGACGGCCUUCGGGUUGUAAACCGCUUUCGCCUGUGACGAAGCGUGAGUGACGGUAAUGGGUAAAGAAGCACCGGCUAACUACGUG